This 294-nucleotide unclassified non-coding RNA is filed under the name Hevea brasiliensis (rubber tree). Lineage: Eukaryota; Viridiplantae; Streptophyta; Magnoliopsida; Malpighiales; Euphorbiaceae. The record is from RNAcentral.
UUUUAUGUCCCAAAUCUAUGGCCAUUUGGCCUUACCCCUCUAAUACUAAGAAGAAAAAUGAUUUCCCAUUAAAUCUCUUAUGGGAUCACCAAACAAUAUUUAUCAUUGUUAUUAAAUUCGGACUGACCCCGAAUCUGUCUGGAUUUGUAAUUUGACCGGACAAGGAAAUGACCUAAUGUGACCUGUUUGACUUGGUCAGUCCGACCAGCCAAUAGGAGCAAAAAUUUUUUAAUUGUUUGUAAGGGAAAUUGAACCCAAGAUCUCAUAAGAGAUUUUUAAAGUCAACAAAUUGAG